UUUUAUUUUUACUAAAUCAAAUGGAUUGAACAGGCUUUUUGGUAUUUAUUUUAAACACACACACACACACACACAACUUCUAUUUGUAUGUAAUAUAAAUAACGGAAGUUUUUUUUUACGUUAGAUAAAACGGACAUACAUGAACAUUACAGCUGAUUGCAUUGAGUGUGUAGGUAAAGGUAAUAUCUUUGGUUAGCUUGCUGACUGAACCGUGAAGCCAUUAUUAUGUUAGGUAAACUACCCUCCUUUAAAAGUAUACUAGACCGACAAAUAACCAAUCUAUGUGUCUGUAAGACUAGAUUUUUUCGAAAGGAGGGAAGUAAAACAAAAGAACCAAAGAUAUAUUACCUUUACCUACAUACUCAAUGCAAUCGGUUGUAAUUACUUUAUUCGAUUCACAUUUGUUUUAACAUAGAUCUACAUAGAGUCAUUCGAAAUGAAUUUAUGGGUGUGUGUUAUCACCCGAAUACAAAUUCAACUUAAUCAAUUAUGAUUUAUAUAACAGAACUACUUUAAUACUUUCUUGAAGGUUCUAUAUACAAAAUAUGUUUUAACUAAAUGCAUUUUGUUUUUGAUGUAUGAAUUAAAUGAUUGUCACUUGAAGCAAUUUGUGGGAAAUUUUGCAUACGCAAAGGACAUGAUUGUUGCUAUUGAUCCAUUUCCCUUUGCUGUUUCAGAGCAUCCCUUACGAACCCACAACUAUUGUUUUAUGUACAUAUUAUUAAUUUGAACUUUUUGAAGUGUCGUGUAUGGUUUUUUUUUGUGUACAUGUAAUACAAUGUGUAAUCUUUGCAUUUUAACCCGCCGCCCGGGUUUUGAUUUUUGCAAUGAAGAUUGUCAUUUAAGUUUAACCAUAUGUAUGUCCUUCAUCCUAAUCUGUC
RNAcentral lists this long non-coding RNA (881 nucleotides) under Mytilus galloprovincialis (Mediterranean mussel). Lineage: Eukaryota; Metazoa; Mollusca; Bivalvia; Mytilida; Mytilidae. The record is from RNAcentral.